UGGUAAAAAUAUAAAUACGAUACUUUGGAUAAUAUCCCGGGUGAAGUGCUCACCGAUAUCCGUGCGCUUGCGGAUCAAUUCCUUAUUGCAUUACCAAAUAUCAACAAGCAUUUCUGGCGCCGUUGCCGGGGAGAAAGACGGUUUGCUGAGAUAAUCUUGAGUCUUACUACUAGCUUAUAUUUAUACUUUUAUCUUUUCUUAUCUUUUUAUAUUCUUUAUUUUUUCUUACCUUAUGGAAAACCAAGAUUCUAAAUCAAUCUAUCAAUUUCCAACACCUUCGGAAACUGACCUUUUACCAUGGGAGUCAUCACAUCCUAUCCAAACAUCCCAGUAUAGGUUAAGUUCCAGGUUGAUUGCCAUGAUUC
RNAcentral lists this long non-coding RNA (365 nucleotides) under Sorghum bicolor (sorghum). Its description in RNAcentral is "long non-coding RNA (SBIC_LNC011800)". The record is from RNAcentral. Lineage: Eukaryota; Viridiplantae; Streptophyta; Magnoliopsida; Poales; Poaceae.